This is a non-coding RNA of Triticum aestivum (bread wheat), 57 nucleotides long. NCBI's taxonomy places the organism in Eukaryota, Viridiplantae, Streptophyta, Magnoliopsida, Poales, Poaceae. The record is from Rfam.
GGCUCAGUUGGUAAAGCACAAGGCUUUUAACCUUGUGGACGUGGGUUCAAGCCCCAU